UUAAAGGGCUGCAGUAUAUUGACUGUACAAAGGUAGCAUAAUCAUUAGUCAUUUAAUUGAUGACUUGUAUGAAGGAUUGGAUGAAAUAUAAACUGUCUCUUAAUUAUAUUUAGAAUUUAAUUUUUUAAUUAAAAAGUUAAAAUAAAUUAGAAAGACGAGAAGACCCUAUAGAGUUUUAUAGGUAAAAUUAAUUGAGAUUAUUUAUAAAGAUUAAAAUUAAGAUUAAUUUAUUUAUUUUGUUGGGGUGACAGAAAAAUAUGAAAAACUUUUUAUAUGUUUAAAACAUUAAUAAGUGGUUAAAUGAUCCAGUAUUAUUGAUUAUAAGAAAAAAUUACCUUAGGGAUAACAGCGUAAUUUUUUUUUUUAGUUCAUAUAAAAAAAAAAGUUUGCGACCUCGAUGUUGGAUUAAGAUAAAAUUUAAAUGCAGAAG
Molecule: ribosomal RNA, 430 nt
Filed under: Sesamia nonagrioides (Mediterranean corn borer)
Lineage: Eukaryota; Metazoa; Arthropoda; Insecta; Lepidoptera; Noctuidae
Description: partial 16S ribosomal RNA
Source: RNAcentral